UGCCCCUCUGCUGCUAUGUAUCACAAGGCAACAAAACGUAACAGAAUGUUGGGGAAGUUCCACCUCUACUGCCAUCCCACCAGCAACAGCCUCUGACUUUGUGGCCCAACAUUAAAACAUAGGAGGCAUUAUUUUUGGAGCAGCCCUCAUAAAAUUCCUCUUUACCUUGCUAAAACUAUUAAUUACACAACAUUAAUAAACAAUUCAAAAAAGACCAAAGUCAUAUUUUAGAAGGCCAGAUCAACAAAGCAUCUUGAAAAUAACACUACUACAAGCAGGAAAACAACAGAACUGGAAGAUGAAAUACCUGUCCAAGUGGCAUGAGGCUCUAUCUGGAAUGCGUAACCAAACACCACUGUGAAAGUAAUAGUGCCACAAAAUACCGCUAUGGGACAGACAAGGCACAGUGAGCUUCUGGGGUGGAGACAACAAGGAAAAGGAAAUAAAUCUCUCCAAAACACAUUACCAUGCUAAUCAGUCAGUGCUCCUCUGGAAGGCAGCCAUGAUCAACAGCCUUAGAGAAAAAUCCCAAAACACAGCCAGAGGAGGGAAGGAGACUGUGCAAAAGGACCAGGAAAACAAGUUACAGCCAAUAUGGAGCUUCUUAGCUGGACACCAUUUGGAAGAAAGGCAGAAAAGCAGCAACAACCCUAUGGCAGUUCCAGUUUGCUCAAUAGAUUUCAGUAGUUAAUUUCCAUUGGCAAACAGUAUACGUGACUACAUAAUGUCUAUCCACGUUGUAUUUCUGCUAGGCCCCUUCUGGCUUCUUUACCAAACUAUUUUCUUAUUCCCCCUCCCUGAAUUUUCC
Molecule: long non-coding RNA, 808 nt
Filed under: Gallus gallus (chicken)
Lineage: Eukaryota; Metazoa; Chordata; Aves; Galliformes; Phasianidae
Description: long non-coding RNA NONGGAT002255
Source: RNAcentral